CAGUAGCCGCGGGAAUACGUAGGGUGCAAGCGUUAAUCGGAAUUACUGGGCGUAAAGCGCGCGUAGGCGGUUACUCAAGUCAGAGGUGAAAGCCCGGGGCUCAACCCCGGAACUGCCUUUGAAACUAGGUGACUAGAAUCUUGGAGAGGUCAGUGGAAUUCCGAGUGUAGAGGUGAAAUUCGUAGAUAUUCGGAAGAACACCAGUGGCGAAGGCGACUGACUGGACAAGUAUUGACGCUGAGGUGCGAAAGCGUGGGGAGCAAACAGGAUUAGAUACCCCUGUAGUCCCUGUCUCUUAUAC
RNAcentral lists this ribosomal RNA (301 nucleotides) under uncultured bacterium. RNAcentral describes it as "partial 16S ribosomal RNA". It matches the Rfam family "Bacterial small subunit ribosomal RNA", at positions 509 to 807 of the family's 1533-position model. The record is from RNAcentral.